Molecule: long non-coding RNA, 201 nt
Filed under: Brachypodium distachyon (stiff brome)
Lineage: Eukaryota; Viridiplantae; Streptophyta; Magnoliopsida; Poales; Poaceae
Description: long non-coding RNA (BDIS_LNC001193)
Source: RNAcentral
UACGCAUACACUGAAGUCAAGUUAAUUGUCACGAUAUAAAACAAGACAGCUACUUUAAGAAUCUACAAUUUCAAUCUGUACAGCAACAACACAACAACGAAGGAGAAUCAAUUUGCCUGCACAUCCACCGUUCAAGUACAGCAAAGCAAACAAGAUUGAACAUUUGGUUCUUCAGGUUCAGGUAGACAGGUAUACAGGGAC